GGGGUGCUAGAGUGGCGAACGGGUGAGUAACACGUGAGUAACCUGCCCUUGACUUUGGGAUAACUUCAGGAAACUGGGGCUAAUACCGGAUAGGAGCUCCUGCUGCAUGGUGGGGGUUGGAAAGUUUCGGCGGUUGGGGAUGGACUCGCGGCUUAUCAGCUUGUUGGUGGGGUAGUGGCUUACCAAGGCUUUGACGGGUAGCCGGCCUGAGAGGGUGACCGGCCACAUUGGGACUGAGAUACGGCCCAG
RNAcentral lists this ribosomal RNA (249 nucleotides) under uncultured Actinomycetales bacterium. RNAcentral's name for it is "partial 16S ribosomal RNA". It matches the Rfam family "Bacterial small subunit ribosomal RNA", at positions 84 to 334 of the family's 1533-position model. Lineage: Bacteria; Bacillati; Actinomycetota; Actinomycetes; Actinomycetales. The record is from RNAcentral.